Molecule: long non-coding RNA, 1196 nt
Filed under: Apteryx haastii (Great spotted kiwi)
Lineage: Eukaryota; Metazoa; Chordata; Aves; Apterygiformes; Apterygidae
Description: lncRNA (ENSAHAG00000014713.1)
Source: RNAcentral
CAGCCAACUAAAAGCCCCUGUUUCGGGCCCCUAAAGGCAGGCCUGUUCCCACGCUCCGCAGAGUUCGCACUCAUCAGAGUUCUUGCACUCACCAGAGUUUGUGUUCGCCAGAGUUCUCACGCUCCCCAGAGUUCCCGCGCUCCCAGAUUUCCCAUGCUUCCCAGAAUUCUUGCGCUCCCCAGAGUUCCCGCGCUUCCCAGAGUUCCUGCGCUCGCCACAGUUCCUGCGCUCACCAGAGUUCUUGCGCUCCCCAGAGUUCGCGCUCCCCAGAGUUCGCACUCACCAGAGUUCUCGCGCUCGCCAGAGUUUGCACUUGCCAGAGUUCUUGCUCUCACCAGAGUUCGCGCUCUCCAGAGUUUUCACGCUCCCCAGAGUUCCCGCGGUCCCCAGAGUUCUYGCGCUCGCUGGAGUUCACGCUUGCCAGAAUUUCCGCGCUCGCCAGAGUUCUCGUGCUCCCCAGAGUUCGCACUCACCAGAGUUCUCGCGCUUGCUAGAGUUCCCGCGCUCCCCAGAGUUUGCACUCACCAGAGUUCCCGCGCUUGCCAGAGUUCUCGUGCUCCCCAGAGUACGCGCUCCUCACAGUUCCCGCGCUCGCCACAAUUCCUGCACUCCCCAGAGUUUGUGCGCUCGCCACAGUUCGGGCUCCCCAGAGUUCCCGCGCUUGCCAGAAUUUGCGCUCACAAGAGUUUUCACGCUCGCCAGAGUUCCCAGCGCUCCCCAGAGUUCCCACGCUCGCCACAGUUCCUGCGUUCACCAGAGUUCGCACUUACCAGAGUCCUUGCGCUCGCCAGAGUUCUCAUGCUCGCCAGAGUUCUCAUGCUCGCCAGAGUUUGCAUUCGCCAGAGUUUGCAUUCGCCAGAGUUCGCGGAAUCUCAAGAGUUCACGCUCGCCAGAGCUCCCGCGCUCCCCAAUGUUCGCGCUUGCCAGAAUUCUUGCGCUCUCCAGAGUUCUCACGCUCCCCACAGUUCGCACUCACAGGAGUUCCCGCGCUCCCCAGAUUUCUCGCGCUCCCCAGAGUUCGCACUCACCAAAGUUCACGCUCCCCAGAGUUCUCAUGCUCACCAGAGUUUGCAGUCACCAGGGUUCUCAUGCUUGCCAGAGUUCACAUUCGCCAGAGUUCUCGCGCUUGCCAGAAUACCUGCGCUCCCCAGAGUUCCCGCCCUCCCCAGAGUUCGCACUCACCAGAGUUCCCGCGU